AGGUACUUGGCUUGAGUCACGGGAAGGUCACGUACUGCUGGAAAUCCCGAGUUCCUGGGCUGCUGUGGGGAUUCUGAAAGCAAGCUUUUCCCAGAAGACCAUUUUGAAGUAGACUCAAGAAGUCCUGGAGACACGACUGGGCAACACACUUCAUUUUUCCAACAAAAGCUUCACAAAGACACAGAGGAAGGGACAACCGUUCUGAAGAACAGUUUCUCUGAACAACCUGGCAGGGUAGGGGGUCCUCUCCCCUGGAGACUGCCCUGGCACCUGCUUCUCUAGCUCUGGGUCCCUGAUGACCUCAUCAGUCAGUUCUGAGUUCCUUUGCAAAGCAGCCCUUUGGGAAGGUGCUGAACACAGGUCACCUCCCAGUCAUCACAACCUUCCUGUACACUAACAUGAGCUCUGUGUCCCUAUGACAAACCCAUUUGGGUUCUUGGCUGGCAUCCCACAAGGCACAGUGUUUUUGUGACAUGGACUUAAGAACAGCCAAUGGGUCAGGAUGAAAAGUAAUCCAAGUGAACAACACGAUGGUCAGGAGAAAACGAGUGGCUCGGCACCCACGUGGGCAGACACCCCCUAGAACUGUGGUGAGCACCAUGGUACUCCUCUACCAGCCCUCCAGCACCCACAGUGCAGGGAGAGGUCCGUGUGGCUACUUCAAAGUGGGGCGGAAAUAAUUUCUGAAACCAUCUGUAAACUUUAUAGAGCAGUUGUAGGCUUACAAAAAAAUUAAGAAAGUGUAGAGACUUCCCAAGUACUCUGCCUCUCUCCAAAUUUCCCCCUAUCAUUAAUUAAUGUGCUGGAUUGGUGUGGUAUAUGUGCUCCACUUUAUUAUUAACUUUAUAAUUGUAGAUUAUUAUAGCUAACUUUAUACAAUUUAUAGAUUACAUGAGUGACUACUCUUUGUGUUGGGAUGAUCUAUGGAUUUUUCCAAAAGCCUAAUGACAUGUGUCCAAUUGGAUAGUUUCACUGCUUUAAGAAUCUACUGCGCUUCGCCUGUUCAUCCUGCCACCCCCUCUGCCUACCAAUCCCUGGCAACUGAUGUUUUUGCUCUCUGUAAUGUUGCCUGCUCCAGAAUGCCAUGAAGUUGGAGUUAUGUAGUAGGUAUCCUUUUCUGACUGGCUCCUUUCAUAAGGGCAAUAUGUCUUUUUUGUAACUUGCCAGCUCAUUGUUUUCUAAACCUGAAUAAUAGUCAAUCGCAUGGAUGGACCACAGUUUGUCUAUCCAUUUAUCUGUUAAAGACCAAAUUGUUUGCUUGCAAUUUUUGACAAUUAUGAAUAAAGCUGUUGUAAAUA
This is a long non-coding RNA of Lepus europaeus (European hare), 1298 nucleotides long. RefSeq lists it as uncharacterized. NCBI's taxonomy places the organism in Eukaryota, Metazoa, Chordata, Mammalia, Lagomorpha, Leporidae. The record is from RefSeq and is a predicted model, not a curated record. The transcript is spliced from 2 exons.